RNAcentral lists this ribosomal RNA (457 nucleotides) under uncultured bacterium. RNAcentral's name for it is "bacterial SSU rRNA". It matches the Rfam family "Bacterial small subunit ribosomal RNA", at positions 29 to 534 of the family's 1533-position model. The record is from RNAcentral.
AACGAACGCUGGCGGCAUGCCUAACACAUGCAAGUCGAACGAGACCUUCGGGUCUAGUGGCGCACGGGUGCGUAACGCGUGGGAACCUGCCUUUAGGUUCGGAAUAACUCAGAGAAAUUUGAGCUAAUACCGGAUAAUGUCUUCGGACCAAAGAUUUAUCGCCUUUAGAUGGGCCCGCGUUGGAUUAGCUAGUUGGUGGGUAAAGCCUACCAAGGCGACGAUCCAUAGCUGGUCUGAGAGGAUGAUCAGCCACACUGGGACUGAGACACGGCCCAGACUCCUACGGGAGGCAGCAGUGGGAAUAUUGGACAAUGGGCGAAAGCCUGAUCCAGCAAUGCCGCGUGAGUGAUGAAGGCCUUAGGGUUGUAAAGCUCUUUUACCCGAGAUGAUAAUGACAGUAUCGGGAGAAUAAGCUCCGGCUAACUCCGUGCCAGCAGCCGCGGUAAAGUGACUACUG